GAGAAAGAUUUUCUAAUGCAGCGGAAAUAAAGUCGAUUUAGCACAGAACAAAGACGACUAAAAAUAAAAGUGUAGGGAUCAUAGAAAUCAAACACUGCUUUUUAUACUGGUUCGGCCAACCCGCCUACAUCUAGUGUCCUUCUAAUCACAGGAAGCAAAUGCACUAUAACGAUCAAGGUUUUUACAACAAGGCUUUUAUAGAGACCUCACGACAAAAAAAAAACAAAAAAAAAAACAUCUCUCUAACCCUCUAAUCAAAAUAUAGGCAUACAAUAACAAGACCAACAACAAGAAUCCCUUCUUUUGCUUUCUACACCCUUUGAGAAACCCCUCAAAGUCAAGAACGCAACACACUCUUCUUCCUAUAAUCACAAU
RNAcentral lists this long non-coding RNA (375 nucleotides) under Vigna radiata. RNAcentral describes it as "long non-coding RNA (VRAD_LNC016942)". Lineage: Eukaryota; Viridiplantae; Streptophyta; Magnoliopsida; Fabales; Fabaceae. The record is from RNAcentral.